RNAcentral lists this ribosomal RNA (440 nucleotides) under uncultured bacterium. RNAcentral describes it as "partial 16S ribosomal RNA". It matches the Rfam family "Bacterial small subunit ribosomal RNA", at positions 338 to 795 of the family's 1533-position model. The record is from RNAcentral.
CCUACGGGUGGCAGCAGUGGGGAAUAUUGCACAAUGGGGGAAACCCUGAUGCCGCGACGCCGCGUGAGUGAAGAAGUAAUUCGUUAUGUAAAGCUCUAUCAGCAGGGAAGAAAAUGACGGUACCUGUGUAAGAAGCACCGGCUAACUACGUGCCAGCAGCCGCGGUAAAACGUAGGGGGCAAGCGUUAACCGGAUUUACUGGGUGUAAAGGGAGAGUAGACGGCAGUGCAAGUCUGGAGUGAAAGGCGCGGGCUCAACCCCCGGACUGCUCUGGAAACUGUACGGCUGGAGUGCAGGAGAGGUAAGUGGAAUUCCUAGUGUAGCGGUGAAAUGCGUAGAUAUUAGGAGGAACACCAGUGGCGAAGGCGGCUUACUGGACUGUAACUGACGUUGAGGCUCGAAAGCGUGGGGAGCAAACAGGAUUAGAUACCCGAGUAGUC